UCGGUCUGGCGGCGAGUGGCGAACGGGUGAGUAAUGUAUCGGAACGUGCCUAGUAGCGGGGGAUAACUACUCGAAAGAGUAGCUAAUACCGCAUACGCCCUACGGGGGAAAGGGGGGGAUCGCAAGACCUCUCACUAUUAGAGCGGCCGAUAUCGGAUUAGCUAGUUGGUGAGGUAAAGGCGCACCAAGGCGACGAUCCGUAGCUGGUUUGAGAGGACGACCAGCCACACUGGGACUGAGACACGGCCCAGACUCCUACGGGAGGCAGCAGUGGGGAAUUUUGGACAAUGGGGGAAACCCUGAUCCAGCCAUUCCGCGUGUGCGAUGAAGGCCUUCGGGUUGUAAAGCACUUUUGGCAGGAAAGAAAUCGCAUCAAUUAAUACUUGGUGUGGAUGACGGUACCUGCAGAAUAAGCACCGGCUAACUACGUGCCAGCAGCCGCGGUAAUACGUAGGGUGCAAGCGUUAAUCGGAAUUACUGGGCGUAAAGCGUGCGCAGGCGGUUCGGAAAGAGAGGUGUGAAAUCCCAGGGCUCAACCUUGGAACUGCACUUUUAACUACCGAGCUAGAGUAUGUCAGAGGGGGGUGGAAUUCCGCGUGUAGCAGUGAAAUGCGUAGAUAUGCGGAGGAACACCGAUGGCGAAGCAGCCCCCUGGGAUAAUACUGACGCUCAUGCACGAAAGCGUGGGGAGCAAACAGGA
This 700-nucleotide ribosomal RNA is filed under the name uncultured beta proteobacterium. Its description in RNAcentral is "bacterial SSU rRNA". It matches the Rfam family "Bacterial small subunit ribosomal RNA", at positions 80 to 777 of the family's 1533-position model. The record is from RNAcentral. Lineage: Bacteria; Pseudomonadati; Pseudomonadota; Betaproteobacteria.